RNAcentral lists this ribosomal RNA (273 nucleotides) under uncultured bacterium. Its description in RNAcentral is "partial 16S ribosomal RNA". It matches the Rfam family "Bacterial small subunit ribosomal RNA", at positions 524 to 796 of the family's 1533-position model. The record is from RNAcentral.
GACGGAGGAUGCAAGCGUUAUCCGGAAUUAUUGGGCGUAAAGCGUCCGCAGGUGGGUUUACAAGUCUGCUGUCAAAGUGCAGAGCUUAACUCUGUAAAGGCGGUGGAAACUGUAAGUCUUGAGUAUGGUAGGGGUAGAGGGAAUUCCCGGUGUAGCGGUGAAAUGCGUAGAUAUCGGGAAGAACACCAGUGGCGAAAGCGCUCUACUGGGCCAUAACUGACACUGAGGGACGAAAGCUAGGGGAGCGAAAGGGAUUAGAAACCCCCGUAGUCC